Molecule: ribosomal RNA, 389 nt
Filed under: Burkholderia sp.
Lineage: Bacteria; Pseudomonadati; Pseudomonadota; Betaproteobacteria; Burkholderiales; Burkholderiaceae
Description: bacterial SSU rRNA
Rfam family: Bacterial small subunit ribosomal RNA
Source: RNAcentral
GGGCGUACAGCGUGCGCAGGCGGUUUGUUAGACAGAUGUGAAAUCCCCGGGCUUAACCUGGGAACUGCAUUUGUGACUGGCAAGCUAGAGUAUGGCAGAGGGGGGUAGAAUUCCACGUGUAGCAGUGAAAUGCGUAGAGAUGUGGAGGAAUACCGAUGGCGAAGGCAGCCCCCUGGGCCAAUACUGACGCUCAUGCACGAAAGCGUGGGGAGCAAACAGGAUUAGAUACCCUGGUAGUCCACGCCCUAAACGAUGUCAACUAGUUGUUGGGGAUUCAUUUCCUUAGUAACGUAGCUAACGCGUGAAGUUGACCGCCUGGGGAGUACGGUCGCAAGAUUAAAACUCAAAGGAAUUGACGGGGACCCGCACAAGCGGUGGAUGAUGUGGAU